UACGGAGGGUGCGAGCGUUGUCCGGAAUCACUGGGCGUAAAGGGCGCGUAGGCGGUUCGUACAGUCAGACGUGAAAUUCCUGGGCUCAACCUGGGGGCUGCGUUUGAUACGUGCGGACUUGAGUGCGGAAGAGGGUCGUGGAAUUCCCAGUGUAGAGGUGAAAAUUCGUAGAUAUUGGGAAGAACACCGGUGGCGAAGGCGGCGACCUGGUCCGAUACUGACGCUGAGGCGCGAAAGCGUGGGGGAGCAAACAGG
This 255-nucleotide ribosomal RNA is filed under the name uncultured bacterium. RNAcentral describes it as "partial 16S ribosomal RNA". It matches the Rfam family "Bacterial small subunit ribosomal RNA", at positions 524 to 776 of the family's 1533-position model. The record is from RNAcentral.